Molecule: ribosomal RNA, 610 nt
Filed under: uncultured Alphaproteobacteria bacterium
Lineage: Bacteria; Pseudomonadati; Pseudomonadota; Alphaproteobacteria
Description: bacterial SSU rRNA
Rfam family: Bacterial small subunit ribosomal RNA
Source: RNAcentral
ACGUACGCUGGCGGCACGCCUAACACCUGCAAGUCGAAACGCAGUAGCAUACUGAGUCGGCAAACGGCGUGAGUAUAAUGUGGGAAUCUGCCUUUUGGUUUGGAAUAACACGGGGAAACUUGUGCUAAUACCGAAUAAGCCCUUACGGGGAAAGUUUUAACGCCGAAAGAUGAGCCCGCACUUGAUUAGCUAGUUGGUAAGGUAAAAGCUUACCAAGGCAAUGAUCAAUAGCUGUUCUUAGAGGAAGACCAGCCACAUUGGGACUGAGACACGGCCCAGACUCCUACGGGAGGCAGCAGUGGGGAAUCUUGCACAAUGGGGGAAACCCUGAUGCAGCGAUGCCGCGUGAGUGAAGAAGGCCUUUGGGUUGUAAAACUCUUUCGUCGGGGAAGAAAAUGACUGUACCCGAAUAAGAAGGUCCGGCUAACUUCGUGCCAGCAGCCGCGGUAAUACGAAGGGACCUAGCGUAGUUCGGAAUUACUGGGCUUAAAGAGCUCGUAGGUGGUUAAAAAAGUUGAUGGUGAAAUCCCAAGGCUCAACCUUGGAACUGCCAUCAAAACUUUUUAGCUAGAGUGUGAUACGAGGUAAGUGGAAUUUCUAGUGUAGAGGU